GAGUUUGAUCAUGGCUCAGGACGAACGCUGGCGGCGUGCUUAACACAUGCAAGUCGAACGGAAAGGCCCUGCUUUUGUGGGGUGCUCGAGUGGCGAACGGGUGAGUAACACGUGAGUAACCUGCCCUUGACUUUGGGAUAACUUCAGGAAACUGGGGCUAAUACCGGAUAGGAGCUCCUGCUGCAUGGUGGGGGUUGGAAAGUUUCGGCGGUUGGGGAUGGACUCGCGGCUUAUCAGCUUGUUGGUGGGGUAGUGGCUUACCAAGGCUUUGACGGGUAGCCGGCCUGAGAGGGUGAUCGGCCACAUUGGGACUGAGAUACGGCCCAGACUCCUACGGGAGGCAGCAGUGGGGAAUAUUGCACAAUGGGCGGAAGCCUGAUGCAGCAACGCCGCGUGCGGGAUGACGGCCUCGGUU
This 415-nucleotide ribosomal RNA is filed under the name uncultured microorganism. RNAcentral describes it as "bacterial SSU rRNA". It matches the Rfam family "Bacterial small subunit ribosomal RNA", at positions 9 to 424 of the family's 1533-position model. The record is from RNAcentral.